RNAcentral lists this ribosomal RNA (435 nucleotides) under Triticum aestivum (bread wheat). RNAcentral describes it as "partial small subunit ribosomal RNA". Lineage: Eukaryota; Viridiplantae; Streptophyta; Magnoliopsida; Poales; Poaceae. The record is from RNAcentral.
AUGAGAGCCCUUUUCUGGAAUGUUUGUGGUUUUGGUGCUAGGGGGCGUCGGGACCAGAUUCAUGACCUGGUGUGUGGGGAGCACAUUGACAUUUUAGGUUUGGUCAAAACUUUCAAGGAAUCCUUUUCUCCCUCUGAAUCGUCUGCGAUUGCUGGGAUUGGUAGAUAUGACUGGCACUUUCUUCCUGCUUCGGGUCAUUCUGGAGGUAUCCUGAUUGGCUCCAAGCGGGACAUCUUUGACUUCAUUACUUUUGACCAUGGUAUUUUUUGGGCUAGCUGCGUAGUUCAUCAUCGCCAACUAAAUAUGAUGUGGGAAUUCAUGGUAGUGUACGGGCCCGCGGAUCAUUCGCUUGCCCCUCUUUUUUUGGAUGAAAUCUCGAGCAAGAUUGAGGCAUGCAAUAUACCUCUUCUUAUAUUGGGAGACUUUAACCCGAUU